AUGGGCACCCACACCCUGUACUGUGUGGCCCUGUGUGUCCUAGUGCCAAAGCACACAGACGCUGGGGUCAUCCAGACACCCAGGCAUGAGGUGACAGAGAAAAGACAAGCUGUCACGCUGAGAUGUGAGCCCAUAUCAGGCCACACUCAUCUUUUCUGGUACAGACAGACUGCGGGGAAGGAGCUGGAGUUUCUCAUUUAUUUCAGCAGCAGAUCUGUUGUAGAUGACAAGGGAAUGCCCAAGGACCGGUUCUCAGCCGAGAUGCCCAGUGCCUCCUCUUCCACUCUCAAGAUCCAACCCACAGAACCCAAGGACUCAGCCGUGUACCUCUGUGCCAGCAGCUCAACCACAGCACUGCAGGAUCGUCCUCUGCAGGUGCAGAAACCCUGGCGCUUCUCCUUCUCCCUCCAGCCCCAGCAGAUCUGA
This is a non-coding RNA of Urocitellus parryii (Arctic ground squirrel), 426 nucleotides long. Lineage: Eukaryota; Metazoa; Chordata; Mammalia; Rodentia; Sciuridae. The record is from the annotation of a RefSeq genome assembly.